AGGACGAACGCUGGCGGCGUGCUUAACACAUGCAAGUCGAGCGAGGCCCUGUCUUCGGACAGGUGCCCUAGCGGCGAACGGGUGAGUAACACGUGGGCAACCUGCCCCUAGCACUGGGAUAACUCCGGGAAACCGGGGCUAAUACCAGAUAUGACCUCCGAGGGCAUCCUCGUUGGUGUAAAGGAUUCUGGCUAGGGAUGGGCCCGCGGCCUAUCAGCUUGUUGGUGGGGUAACGGCCUACCAAGGCGACGACGGGUAGCCGGCCUGAGAGGGCGACCGGCCACACUGGGACUGAGACACGGCCCAGACUCCUACGGGAGGCAGCAGUGGGGAAUAUUGCACAAUGGGCGAAAGCCUGAUGCAGCGACGCCGCGUGAGGGAUGACGGCCUCGGGUUGUAACCUCUUUCAGCUCCGACGAAGCGAAGUGACGGUAGGAGCAGAGAAGCACCGGCCAACUACGUGCCAGCAGCCGCGGUAA
RNAcentral lists this ribosomal RNA (479 nucleotides) under uncultured bacterium. RNAcentral's name for it is "SSU rRNA". It matches the Rfam family "Bacterial small subunit ribosomal RNA", at positions 26 to 523 of the family's 1533-position model. The record is from RNAcentral.